GCGCAAUUAUUCAAUCUAUCUCUCUUCCCCUAUAAGUUCAACACUAUGCCUGAUGCAUAUAUAAGUAUGGAUAUACAUGUAGAUAUUAAAGCAUACCCAAUUUGAUAUUAUAUUAAUAAAUGGUAAAUUAUUGAGUAUAAAUCUAAUAUUAGUUAAUCACCACACAGGAAGUGAUGUAGUUCAUUAUAGGGUUUAAAAACCCAUCAGAUUCAGCUUUCAGUUUAUGCAGCAGCUAGGAGUGUUACUAACUGGUGAGAGGUUUAAAAUUUCCUAUGUAAAUUAUUUUGAACCGGGCACUGCUCAGUGGAAAAUCACUAAAUGGGCCAUAUCUAAUUUUCAAUUGGUGUCAAGGGACAAGCAGCCCCGAACCCCCACCCACUCGGAUCUAUCCCUGCAUAGCAACGAGGAGUGGGAACCGACCCAGGAGGGGGAUACGACCGACCAGGCUUGCAGUGACCAGCCGCGGUCGUCAAGGGCCCAUGAGAAGACUAAGAAAAAGCCUAGUAGAAAGGCAAGAAGCCAGCCAGAGGAGCAGUCGGAGGAGGAAGCCUCUGGUGAAGAUGCAGGACCGAAAAAGCCGCGUGGCCCCAGAUACACUGAGGCGGAAAACUGUGCUCUAGUGGAUGGCGUCGACAGGUCCUACGACGUUCUGUAUGGACAAAGGGCACAGACCACAUCAGCUAGGACAAAGCGAAGCAUCUGGGAUGCCAUCGCGAGCCAAGUCACUGCAGUAUCUGGAAACUGCCGGAGCACCAGAAACUGCAUGAAGCGGUACAGUGAUUGCCGCAGACAGACCAAAAAGAAGAUGGGGAUUCAGCGCCGACAUGAGACCGCUACAGGAGGUGGACCGGCUCUCAACCUGAAGUGGCUACCCUGGGAGAAUGUUAUUAGAAGGCGCAUGAACCCUGCCAUGGUCGAAGGAGUUCGCGGAGGUGUGGACUCUAGCCGUCCUGCUGGCUUUCCCGAGGAGGAAGAACCGCCCAGAAGGCGGGAGAUAAGGAGGCCUGAUGACAGGCCUGCCCAGAGGACAUCACCUGCGCGCAGGACAUCGCCAGCGCGCGGACCGACACCUGCGCAGCAGGCAUCGACAGCAGCGUGCGGACUGACACCUGCGCAGCAAGCAUCAGGAGCGCGCAGAUCUUCACCUGUGCGCCACAGAUCGUCAUCGCACAGUUUGUCACCUGUGCACCAGACGACGUCGGCGCGCAGACUAUCACCUGUGCGCCAGACAUCAGCGCACAGAACUUCACCUGUGCCCCAUACACCGUCGGCGACCACACCACAAGAUGGGCGCCAAACUACAGCUCCUGCGCGCAGGUCAUCACCAGAUCGUCGUAUCUCCAGGAGCUCAGGGACUGACUGAAGAGCCUCAAGACACAACCCUUGUGGACCCAUCACCCGAUCUGUUUGAGUCUACAGGGUUAACAGAUGAGUUAUGGGUUUGAGGACAGACGUAUCCAGCCAGACCCUUGAAAAGUCUUCAGAUACGAGGACAAGUGAAGCUCCUGGAGCAGCGGCACCACAGGAUGUAGAAGUGGUGCCACGGACCAGCAGCGGACUAGCUUUGGGAAUUGGUUCCUACUACAGGCCGGAUCUCCUCCUACAGGAGUCGUCAGAGGAUGACGAGGUGGAAGUGCAGCAGGCUGCAGUUGCUACAUCCCUGUCUGCCCAAAUGCAAGUGGUGGCAGACGCCCAGGAAGGGCAGAAUCCCUCAACUGUUCAGAGGGUGAACACCCUGGCAUCGGAGAUUACUUCCCGCCAGGAUACCUACACAAAUGUUGUUGGAUGCAGACUGGACAACAUUGAGAGGACAAUGGAGAAGAUGUCAAACAGUCUGCUUGAAAUGCAGAAGGCUCUUGCCGACAGCACGGCCACAAUGCUACAGGUCAGAAUGGACGAUCAUAGGGAGACUAUGGACGUCCUUCACAUUCUGGCCGAAUCCAUGGGCCGGCUCGUGGAGAACACAACAUGUCUGGCACACAGCAAUACCAACAUGUCGGAGAGCCAUCGACAAUCCUCAUCCAGCCAACAGCUCAUCGCAACCACACUGCAGAUCUAUGACAAGCUCCCAGAACCAGCUCAUCAACACGCUGGUGAUCCACCAUUUCCGCCGUCGCAAGCCACAAGGAUGCCUCGUACCCUUCCUCAACUACCAUCCCAGUACAGACAGUCACAGAUGUACCAGGGAUAUACGGGGAUGUACCCCACCCACCAGAUGCCUCCACCACCGGCCGCCACAUCUACAGCCGCAUGGGCACAGAGGCCCAGUCAACGUACUACCAUGCCUCCUAGGACAUCGACACCCCACACUCAGGAGGAACACCAGGAUCCGGACAGACUUUCACCAUAAGCCCGGUCGUAUUGUUUUAUUUACUUCAUAUGUUUUUCAUGUAUCCUUUUCUUCCCCUCCCAUUUGUUUGUUUUCUUACUAUUGUUUUUCUUUGUUGGGCUUCCCCACCCGUGACCGGGUACUACCAAGGAGCUUUGUGUAGGCAUACAUGGGCAUGUAUGCGGGCGCGUGUGGUAACGGAUGAAAGCUCCUUGUGGCUACAUGUAUGAUGGGCCAAAGAGCAAUUCUGAUACCACUCUUUUACCCAAAAAAUCCUUUUUGUAAUGGUGUACAAUAGUCUUUCACUGUUGUGUGAAUUUACUAUUCACUAGUGUGUUUUUGGCUUAUUCAUAGGAUUGGGUGGAAAAUUGAAGUGGACGGCAUAAGUUCGUGUUGUGCGU
This is an RNA transcript of Pseudophryne corroboree (corroboree frog), 2730 nucleotides long. RefSeq lists it as uncharacterized. The transcript has 7 exons. NCBI's taxonomy places the organism in Eukaryota, Metazoa, Chordata, Amphibia, Anura, Myobatrachidae. The record is from RefSeq and is a predicted model, not a curated record.